RNAcentral lists this ribosomal RNA (889 nucleotides) under uncultured bacterium. Its description in RNAcentral is "bacterial SSU rRNA". It matches the Rfam family "Bacterial small subunit ribosomal RNA", at positions 33 to 915 of the family's 1533-position model. The record is from RNAcentral.
ACGCUGGCGGCAGGCCUAACACAUGCAAGUCGAGCGGAACACAAGGGAGCUUGCUCCUGAGGUGUCGAGCGGCGGACGGGUGAGUAAUGCCUAGAUAUCUGCCUAGUUUUGGGGGAUAACAGUUGGAAACGACUGCUAAUACCGCAUACGCCCUACGGGGGAAAGGAUGGGACCUUCGGGCCAUUCGCGAUUAGAUGAGUCUAGGUGGGAUUAGCUAGUUGGUAAGGUAAUGGCUUACCAAGGCGACGAUCCCUAGCUGUUCUGAGAGGAUGAUCAGCCACACUGGGACUGAGACACGGCCCAGACUCCUACGGGAGGCAGCAGUGGGGAAUAUUGCACAAUGGGCGAAAGCCUGAUGCAGCCAUGCCGCGUGUAUGAAGAAGGCCUUCGGGUUGUAAAGUACUUUCAGCGAGGAGGAAAGGUUGGUCGUUAAUAGCGGCUAGCUGUGACGUUACUCGCAGAAGAAGCACCGGCUAACUUCGUGCCAGCAGCCGCGGUAAUACGAGGGGUGCAAGCGUUAAUCGGAAUUACUGGGCGUAAAGCGUACGCAGGCGGUUUGUUAAGCAAGAUGUGAAAGCCCCGGGCUCAACCUGGGAAUUGCAUUUUGAACUGGCAAACUAGAGUCUUGUAGAGGGGGGUAGAAUUUCAGGUGUAGCGGUGAAAUGCGUAGAGAUCUGAAGGAAUACCGGUGGCGAAGGCGGCCCCCUGGACAAAGACUGACGCUCAGGUACGAAAGCGUGGGGAGCAAACAGGAGUUAGAUACCCUGGUAGUCCCGCCGUAAACGAUGUCUACUCGGAGUUUGGUAAAUUAGUUACUGGGCUCCCAAGCUAACGCAUUAAGUGACCGCCUGGGGAGUACGGCCGCAAGGUAAAACUCAAAUGAAUGACG